This 3845-nucleotide long non-coding RNA is filed under the name Sus scrofa (pig). RNAcentral's name for it is "lncRNA (ENSSSCG00000057066.1)". The record is from RNAcentral. Lineage: Eukaryota; Metazoa; Chordata; Mammalia; Artiodactyla; Suidae.
AAGUAUUUUUUUUUAAUUUUUAUUAUAGUUGAUUUACUAUGUAGUCUGCAAGUAUUUUGAUAAAAACCCAUUUGUUUAGAGAGGCUCUGCUUUCACCUCCUUUCCUCCUUCCCUCCAUCCUUCCUUUCUUCCUUCUUUUUUUCCUUCCUUCCUUCUUCCUCUCUCCCCCUCCCUCCCUCUUUCCUUCCUAUAAAGUAAAGCUUGUUACGAAGCCGCGCUCUCCGUUUCUAAAGGAACGAUGAGGUCAGCCCUCAGCCGAGUAAAUAGUAAACCUUGGGCCGGGAUGUCCGCUUUCCUGUGGCCACCGCCUUCUGGCCUGGUUCACGUGGCUUCUUUGGAGGCUGCCUCAGCCCCCAUCAUCAGCUAGCUCCCUUCCCAGCCAGGUCAGCGUGCUCCUGGCCAGCACUGCCAGGGACAGGAGACACUCUGUGCAGUUCUGCCUUUGGUUAAUAGUAGCGUAGUUCCUCUGAUGUUUCGUCUGGUUUUCUCUUUUUGGAGUGUAAAGGGAGGGCCAGGCUGGCUAAGUGGUAAAGUGAUGGGUUUCAAGCCCCACUCUCUCUCAAUAUUUCAGCUCCCUUCUCCCUGAUCAGUGCUUUUCAAACCUCCAGAUAUAACUGAACAACCCAGGCUCCUGUGAAAACACAGAUUCUGCCUCAGUGAGUCUGCAUGGGGCCCAAGAUUCUGCAUUUUUAACCAGCUCCCAGAGCAUGUUGAUGCUGCUCGUCUGAGGACCAUGCCUUGAGCCACAAGGUUCUGAUCAGUGGUUCUGAAGGUGUGGUUCCAGAACCGGCAGAAGCAUCAACUGGGAGCUUGUUAGAAAUGCACAUCUCAGACCCCACUGCAGAUCUGCUGAGGCAGAAACUCUGGGGCGGCCAGCAGUCUGUUUUAAUAAGCACUCUAGGGAACUCUGAUGUACAUGCUCACGGUGGAAAUCUCUGGUCUGUGGUUCUCAACUCUACCUGCAUGUCCAGGUCACCGGGAGAGCUCUGAAUACCCAAGAUUCUGACUUAAUUGGUUUGAAUGAGGGCCAGGCAUUUAAAACAAUUCUUUUUUUAAGCUUUUGAUUUUGAAGUAACUAUUUUAUUUUUUUAGGACCGCACCCACAGCUUGUGGAGGUUCCCAGGCUAGGGGUCUAAUUGGAGCUGCAGUUGCCAGCCUACACCACAGCUACAGCCACGCCAGAUCUAAGCCACCUCUGCGACCUACACCACAGCUCACGGCAACACUGGAUCCUUAACCCACGAAGCAAGGCCAGGGAUCGAACCUAGUGGGAUUUGUGAACCACUGAGCCACGACAGGAACUCCUGUAACCAUCUAAUAAGGAGUAGGUUCUGCCUUGUAAUGGUUUAUGUGCAUAAUGAUCAGAUGGCAGAAGAUGUCCAGAGUCAGCUCUGAUCCUUUUCCUACAUUUGUCCUGGGCCAUAUUCUCCUAAUGGGGGCCAGUGUCGCCCACACCGGGCCAGGCCCAUCAUUCUGAUUCUGCUAUCACUAGAUGGCUUUGCAGGUUGCUUUGGUUUCUGGGCCUCUGCUGUGAAAUGGGGUGGCUGUCCAUAGGGUGCCCUUCUUGGAGGGCUGGGAUGAGUGUGAAUAGUGCCAGUGAAAGUGACAGGGAAAAGCAACACUAAGAAACUAACAGAUACAAAGCAUGCAAGGGAAAAGUUUAUCCAGCAUCGCUUGCAGCUUUAGCAGAACUCCCUUCUGUGGUGACACUCACUGCUGCAAGCAUGCUGAUCCAGUGUCUACCGCAAGCCAUGGGGUAGACAGAUCUCUCUGGCUACAGACAUUGGUUCCAACAUAGGCUCAUGGCCUCAAGGGCAUUCCUGUGACUUUCAGUUAAGAUUAUGGAGAAUGACUAUCUUUCUAUUGGUUGCUAAGCUCCAGUGACUAUCUUGACUGCCUCUCUUUUGAACUCCUAGAUCCAGCCAUUCCUGCAGGCUAGAUCCACCCUUGGCUUCUCGAGUACAUGAGCCAAUAAAUCUGUAAGACUUUUGCAUUCUCAGUUGGGUAUCUGAGUUUUAACCCAAAGUGCCCUUAUCACUGCAGCUGUUAUGUUUAAGGGCCCUGAACCCGUGUUUGGAGGAUGUGGAAAUCCAGGAGGAAGUCUGGAGGGGAAUAAUAUAGACAUCUGCAGGGAUAGAAAUAGAUGAUUCUAGACUGGACACUCUCCAGAGAGCUGAGCAGGAGCAAACAAGAGUUCAAUUACAGUAAGUUCCUACUGUUUUGCUGUUGCUGAGGCAAUGAGUAAGGGCUGCUGAUUGGUUACUUUAUAUGUUGUCUUCUGGUCAGAACCAACACAAAGGCCAUGCCAUUCUGGCUGGUUGCCCUUUGUAUGGAUACAUACGCUUUCUAUAAUAGUCAUGCCUGUUUCCUAACGAUCCAUGGGGAUUUUAGAAACUGGCUAUUUGGCUGCAAUAGGCUUAACUUCUCUUAUCGAUUCUGCCAGUUGCUGUCAACGUAGGUUACCCCCAGAGAGCUGGCAGGAGCUCUUUCUUUAAUCACAGUAUUAGUUGGAAAGAGACAUCCCUGGGAGCAUUUAAGGCAAAGACAGUCUCACGCAGGUGUUCCUUGUUCUCCUGAGAGCUGGGCUGGCCAGUUCGCAGAGCCCAUGUUUAAUCAGGGUGAGUUGGCAACUUGACUGUGGUUGAGGAAGCUGCUUUCUCUUCUGCUUUUCCUAUUUCACGCAUCUGGUUGAGUGAGAUGAGAGCCCAUGUGAGGUUUGUUACCUCUCUCUCCUGCCUGGGUUGUGAGAUUUCUAAACAGGCUGAUACUGACAUCUUAUAGACACCAAGCUCAGCCCAUCUCCACGGUGUGGCUCUUGGGGUUCACUCACUCUGCUUUGCCUUAUAUCCACGCCCUCUGCUUUCUACAUUCUUGGCAGCUCCCAAGGCCUGCCUUCUGCAGGGAGCCUCCCAAGACCACUGCUCUUGUUGAUCCGCCUCCUUCUCCCCCCAGGUGUCUUGAUUCUUCAUGUCCACCGUCCACACUCAGUUGUCUGCCUGCCCCAUGCAGUCAUGGGAGGGCAAGGACCACUUUUUUGUCUCUUGUAUGCUCUUUGAUGUCAGGACAGGGGAGGCCCCACUAGGCCUUUCGUUGGCCAUCAUGUGGCCGCUUACACACGCCUCAAUUCCUGCGAGUAGCACGCAUUCCUUCAGUGCCCUUAGAUUGGAAAGGGCAGUGGAGAGAGAAGAUGAAUUAGACAUGAUGCCUGCCUUUAAAAAACUGGGGUAUCUUUGAAAAGAGCAGCUUGCUUUGGAGAGGUUCCUGCUGGUGGAGGCAGGGGUGGGCUAGGAGUCCAUGGUCCGGGAGGAGAGAAGGGGAUUUAAACAACUCUGGGGGAACAAUAAUGCCAGCCAGCAGCUCCCCCUGGCAGCAGGAUUUGAUGAAACUAUCUCUGUAUUUCUCUUUGGGGCCAGUAUCUACCCAAAUUUCAUUUUGACCCAGGGGCCUGCAUUCAAUGUCUUAGUGGAUGGUGCCACCAGCAGUCACCCAUGUCCAAAAGCCAAUAGUCAGUCUUAACCUGUUCUUGACUUUCAUAGCAUUACCCCACAAACUGUACCAUCUUGUAUGUCUGUAUCCACUAAGUCUCCUUUGCCUCUCUACCACCAACAUCCUGGUUAAGAUCUGGUCCCCUCGUUGGUCUCCUUGCCUCCCAUCAUGUCCCACCAAACUGACUCUCAUUUGGUUCACAUAAAGCCAACGUGCUUACAGUUACAUGGCCAAAAACCUCUUUGCCCAAGGAUCAAUUCACCCAAAGACCAGUUUACCUCAAAUUAAGUAUUCUUAAAAGUUCUCAGAUCUGUUUAACCUUCCUAUUAUUUCUUGCCUUGUUCUUCAUUUUAAAGAUU